GUCCUAUUUUUUGGUAAAGAGCCACAUGAAUCUGUUAUGAUAUAAUUAUUCUUGUUUUGAGUGUCACCCUCAUUUGGUCUUCUGAAUGCCAGAAAUGCGUCUUUCGAACAAAAGAGAAAAACAGCAACCAUAAUUAUUUGACCAGAAGAGGAUUACCCAGCAGAAAGUCCUAGAGUGUAGAUAUAGUUCUGAAGACCGGAGCGUGGAGAGGCAAAUAUCAGGUUGUGCUGACACCAGGACACACAGGACCUCCUCGUUCUCAUUAUGCUUGGCUUGUUUUGAUGGGAAGAUACAAAAGUACCUAGGUGAGAAGAGCACGUGUGAAAGCUCCACAGUGGCUGGUACAGUGCUUAUCGCCUCAUGAGAUUCUCUAAAUGCCUUCUAAAGUGUAUGAAGGAAGAACUGCUGCCAGAAGUUUUAGUACAGGGCAUUGCAUAGGACCCACAAAUGGAGCACACCGUUAGCCAGCAGCCAUACACAGAAUAUCACCAGCCUUACUGAAGCCUCCUGCAGCCCCCUCCAAGGACAUCUCUACUCCCUCCCACUUCUAACAGCACAGAGGAGACUUCUGUUUUUAUACUUCAUGUACAAAUGAAAUAACACAUGACAGAAGAACCUGCUAAGUGAGAGUCAGGAUGACCUGAACCUGGGUCCUUCAAUCAAUAACCCACAGGCAAGGUGCCCAUCAACUGGUGAAUGGAUAAAGAAGAUGUGGAGUUUUUAUACAAUGGAGCACUACUCAGCCACAAAGAAGGAUAUACUCAAGACAUUUCUAGGAAAAUGGGACUUUGAGUUCAUACUCAUGUGACAUAAAUCGGACAGACAACUGCUUACUUGAAGAGCAAGUUGGAAUGGAAGAAAUCGCAAGCCUUACUUACCCCGACCUUUUGGGGUGAUCUAAAAGGUUCUUUCUUGACAAGUUUAAGGUAAAAAACUGCUGGAAGGAUGAAAAUCAGCAUCGUGGCAGAAGAAGCCCCUGAGGAGAGAAACAGGCACAUGAAUUCCCUGAGUGG
Molecule: long non-coding RNA, 1013 nt
Organism: Cavia porcellus (domestic guinea pig)
Lineage: Eukaryota; Metazoa; Chordata; Mammalia; Rodentia; Caviidae
Exons: 4
Source: RefSeq, a predicted model, not a curated record